Molecule: ribosomal RNA, 216 nt
Filed under: uncultured bacterium
Lineage: Bacteria
Description: partial 16S ribosomal RNA
Rfam family: Bacterial small subunit ribosomal RNA
Source: RNAcentral
UACGGAGGGUGCGAGCGUUGUCCGGAAUCAUUGGGCGUAAAGGGCGCGUAGGUGGCCCGGUCAGUUCGUGGUGAAAGCGCGGGCUCAACCCUGCGUCGGCCAUGAAUACUGCCGCGGCUGGAGCACUGUAGAGGCAGGCGGAAUUCCGGGUGUAGCGGUGGAAUGCGUAGAGAUCCGGAAGAACACCGGUGGCGAAGGCGGCCUGCUGGGCAGAAC